Molecule: ribosomal RNA, 468 nt
Filed under: uncultured bacterium
Lineage: Bacteria
Description: partial 16S ribosomal RNA
Rfam family: Bacterial small subunit ribosomal RNA
Source: RNAcentral
GGAUGAACGCUGGCGGCGUGCUUAACACAUGCAAGUCGAACGGAAAGGCUCCUGCUUGCAGGGGUACUCGAGUGGCGAACGGGUGAGUAACACGUGGGUGGUCUGCCCUGCACUUCGGGAUAAGCCUGGGAAACUGGGUCUAAUACCGGAUAGGACCACAUUUUGGAUGGUGUGGUGGAAAGUUUUUCGGUGUGGGAUGAGCUCGCGGCCUAUCAGCUUGUUGGUGGGGUAAUGGCCUACCAAGGCGUCGACGGGUAGCCGGCCUGAGAGGGUGUACGGCCACAUUGGGACUGAGAUACGGCCCAGACUCCUACGGGAGGCAGCAGUGGGGAAUAUUGCACAAUGGGCGCAAGCCUGAUGCAGCGACGCCGCGUGGGGGAUGACGGCCUUCGGGUUGUAAACUCCUUUCGCUAGGGACGAAGCGUUUUUGUGACGGUACCUGGAGAAGAAGCACCGGCUAACUACGUG